GCUGUGAUGGCCGAGUGGUUAAGGUGUUGGAUUUGAAAUCCAAUGGGGUUUCGCCGCGCAGGUUAGAACCCUGCUCUCAGCG
This 82-nucleotide transfer RNA is filed under the name Dallia pectoralis (Alaska blackfish). RNAcentral's name for it is "tRNA-Ser". It matches the Rfam family "tRNA". From Rfam's summary of the family: Transfer RNA (tRNA) molecules are approximately 80 nucleotides in length. Their secondary structure includes four short double-helical elements and three loops (D, anti-codon, and T loops). Lineage: Eukaryota; Metazoa; Chordata; Actinopteri; Esociformes; Umbridae. The record is from RNAcentral.